Molecule: non-coding RNA, 381 nt
Organism: Pantherophis guttatus
Lineage: Eukaryota; Metazoa; Chordata; Lepidosauria; Squamata; Colubridae
Source: RefSeq, a predicted model, not a curated record
UAUAAUGUUCAUGGAAAACUUUCUAAAGUUCACUUUAUAUUUUUUCAUAAAUUUCUUAAGUUUUUAUAUUGUUUAAAUUAAUCCCAUAGAGGAGGGAAAGAAGUACAAUCUAAAAAUAAUAAAUUGAAAGUAUAAUGGCUAUAUAUACAUACCCUAUUUCUCAAGGCUGCAGUGGAUGCAGAGCCAAUGUCGCAAAUCUGAACAAGCUGGCCAGGACGCCUGCAUUCCUGGAUAAGUUUUGCAGUUUUUGCCAGGGCCAAGGCCUCAGAAGCCCAACUCAUGUAUCCAGGUCCAGCAACAGAAGGGCACACCCAAUAGAAAAGGCAGAGAAGGCAGGAACCAAGGAAAUACCUGAGACUGUUUUGUCUUCACCUGCAAGGU